AUCAACCAAAUUAAAAAUGUGUGGUCACACUCCUUUUCCAGCACAAGAGCCUCGGUGGUGAUCGUGUUAUACGGCAACACCUUCGCCGAGCAUCGCUGCGUCACCGAAAUAACUUACAUCUCGCUAAUUGGCACGUUUUUGAAGCGAGAGCUUACGAUACACCCUGACAAUAUUACAUACGAGAUGCAAAAAAACUUAAAUUAGGACUUGCAUCGAAAAUAACAGCUCUGAGGGCGUGGUUAUCCCUUUGUGGGCCAAGGCAACAAAGUUUUGCACAUUUGUAGUGACGACUAGCCUAGCCUUUUAUCUAUAGCCCAGCCUCAGCCGCAUCACCACCAGAUCAUAGGAUGCACUAAGCCUACCAUAAGUAGUGAACCCAAGUGUCCCACAACAUUGGCCUGUUUGCCUCAGUCUGUUUGGCUUCCAGGCUAACGAGUGACCUUGAUGUCUUCACACUGAUGACUCCUCCCAAGCUCCAGGCGCCACCAUCAGGUAAGGCACGGGAAGUAAAAAUUAAAUAGAAAAUGUUCAAACACGUAAAAGGGGAAGGUGGAAUAAGAUGACAGAAUGUGCUAUUGAAGUAUUUGUACAAGAGUGAUCUCAUACUAUUUAGACGACAGGUAUAUUUCUUUUUCACCCCUCUCAUGUAAUAUAUCACCUCAUGAAACAACAUAUAUUUUAAUGACCAGUUUAUUAUAUGGUUUUAUAUAUGUACAAUAAGUAAUAAUACUAACACCACAAACUGAUGAUAAGCUGCAUCAAGUUAGAAGCAUUUUGACUGCACUCAUUCAGACUGAUGGUACAAUGAACGCAAGUGGAUGGUGUAUGACGCGACAGUGAACAAGGGUCACACAAGGGAGGAGUGGACGGAGAGGGGGAUAUCAUCACUCUGGUUCACAUAGCUCAGUGCUGGGAGAGAGGCUAGGUAGUGGAUAAUGUGCUAAAAGGUGGAUGCAGUGUGUCAUUGUGUUCCUCUCACUGUGACGCUUGAAGUUUUCUUUUUAAAUCUCAUCCAAGGCUUGCAAAGGAGGGAACAGAGUCUACUGGAAUCUAGCUUUUGUUGACUCUUCUCCUUCCCAUGCCACCCUCUUACAUUGAAUUUCCAAAUGGAGCAGAGCAUCAGAUACAUUAAUACAAAUAUAGUUAAAGAAUAGAAGUGCUGAAAAGAAGACUUAGCAAUUUCUGUUCAUCAUUACAGUGGUACAUAUCUGUUUAUAGCUAGUGGUGGUUCAUGAUGGAAACAAUGUCAUCAUCAUCCAUUUAUCAGCUUUUUUAUUUUUUUAUAUGGUGAGGUUAGACAUAUGAUAACCAUCCUCAACUGUCUCUGUCAAGUGUUUCUUCCUAAUUAACACCCAGAGAAGCUAGGUCCUCUGCAACACAUCUUCAGGUAUUUGUUCUGCCUGGUUGUCCAUGGCCAAGCACGAUACCAGCUAUACACCUCAACAUCCUUCUGUCACAUUAUAUCAGUUCAUCCUACAGUUUCUCAGCAGAGCCUGCACUUCCAUUUAUUUAACAACACAGAUCUAAUGCAAGUGUCAUGUACCUUACCAAUGUUAAACAAUAUCAAAUUCAUUAAUGUUUGCUUAUAGAAUCAACUGGGAAAGUGGUGGCACAUGGCAUCAACAGUGGUGAUGGUGGCAGUUACACCAUUGGGAAUAGUGCUGUUUGCAUCCCACUUCCUGCUGCUGGUCUUGUUUGCACUGUUUGUCUGCAACCUCUUUGUUCCAGUGAUAUACACCUCCCUCCAGGGUUAUAAACAGUAAGUAAAUGUUCUUAAAUGGUACUGAUACACUAAGAGAAGUAGCUGCCUGGCACCUGGGCAUAGACCUCUGUCAUGAACACCAUUUCAUAUGGAAUGAUCAUCGCUACUUCACGCUUAAGUACACUUGUAUCAUGGCACUUAUAACAGACUAGAAAGCUGCUCCACCAAACACAUGUUGAAACAAAGUAUCACAAGCUACACUACUCUCAAAGCUCUGCCAUUACUCAUUACAUAUUUUCCUUUCCAGGAGUAUCUAUGGACCAUGGGGUGAAGCACACAUAGAAGACAGAUAGAAAAUUGCCUUAACAAAAUACACCAAUUAUUUC
Molecule: long non-coding RNA, 2088 nt
Organism: Eriocheir sinensis (Chinese mitten crab)
Lineage: Eukaryota; Metazoa; Arthropoda; Malacostraca; Decapoda; Varunidae
Exons: 2
Source: RefSeq, a predicted model, not a curated record